AUGAACGCUGGCGGCGUGCCUAAUACAUGCACGUCUAGCGAACAGACGAGGAGCUUGCUCCUCUGACGUUAGAGGCGGCCGGGUGAGUAACACGUGGCUAACCUACCUAUAAGACUGGGAUAACUUCGGGAAACCGGAGCUAAUACCGGAUAAUAUAUUGAACCGCAUGGUUCAAUAGUGAAAGACGGUUUUGCUGUCACUUAUAGAUGGAUCCGCGCCGCCUUAUCUCGUUGGUAAGGUAACGGCUUACCAAGGCAACGAUGCGUAGGCGACCGGAGAGGCUGAACGGCCACACAGGAACUGAGACGGGGACCAGACUGCUAAGGGAGGCAACGGAAGGGAGUCUGCCGAAAUGGACGAAAGCCUGACGGAGCAACACCACGUGAAUGAUGAAGGUCACGGGAAAAGAAAACAUUGUUAUUAGGGAAGAAAAAAUGUGUAAGAGACUAAGCACUUCUUGACGGUACCUAAUUAGAAAGCAACAAAUAACUACGUG
RNAcentral lists this ribosomal RNA (496 nucleotides) under uncultured bacterium. Its description in RNAcentral is "partial 16S ribosomal RNA". It matches the Rfam family "Bacterial small subunit ribosomal RNA", at positions 29 to 507 of the family's 1533-position model. The record is from RNAcentral.